This 515-nucleotide ribosomal RNA is filed under the name uncultured bacterium. Its description in RNAcentral is "partial 16S ribosomal RNA". It matches the Rfam family "Bacterial small subunit ribosomal RNA", at positions 28 to 523 of the family's 1533-position model. The record is from RNAcentral.
GAUGAACGCUGGCGGCGUGCCUAAUACAUGCAAGUCGAGCGAAUGGAUUAAGAGCUUGCUCUUAUGAAGUUAGCGGCGGACGGGUGAGUAACACGUGGGUAACCUGCCCAUAAGACUGGGAUAACUCCGGGAAACCGGGGCGAAUACCGGAUAACAUUUUGAACCGCAUGGUUCGAAAUUGAAAGGUGGCUUUGGCUGUCACUUAUGGAUGGACCCGCGUCGCAUUAGCUUGUUGGUGAGGUAACGGCUCACCAAGGCAACGAUGCGUAGCCGACCUGAGAGGGUGAUCGGCCACACUGGGACUGAGACACGGCCCAGACUCCUACGGGAGGCAGCAGUAGGGAAUCUUCCGCAAUGGACGAAAGUCUGACGGAGCAACGCCGCGUGAGUGAUGAAGGCUUUCGGGUCGUAAAACUCUGUUGUUAGGGAAGAACAAGUGCUAGUUGAAUAAGCUGGCACCUUGACGGUACCUAACCAGAAAGCCACGGCUAACUACGUGCCAGCCGCCGCGGUAA